ACACUGCGAGUGAUAAGAUCCGUAGUGGAAAGGGAAACAACCCAGACCGUCGGCUAAGGUCCCCAAAUCCUUGUUAAGUGGAAAAGGAUGUGGGGCUGCUUAGACAACUAGGAUGUUGGCUUAGAAGCAGCCAUCAUUUAAAGAGUGCGUAAUAGCUCACUAGUCGAGUGGCCCUGCGCCGAAAAUUUACCGGGGCUAAACAAGGUACCGAAGCCACGGAUAGAACCUUUGGUUCUAUGGUAGGAGAGCGUUCUAAUCAGCAUAGAAGCCUGACUGU
This 277-nucleotide ribosomal RNA is filed under the name Dolosigranulum pigrum. RNAcentral's name for it is "partial 23S ribosomal RNA". It matches the Rfam family "Bacterial large subunit ribosomal RNA", at positions 984 to 1264 of the family's 2925-position model. The record is from RNAcentral. Lineage: Bacteria; Bacillati; Bacillota; Bacilli; Lactobacillales; Carnobacteriaceae.